Molecule: ribosomal RNA, 468 nt
Filed under: uncultured bacterium
Lineage: Bacteria
Description: partial 16S ribosomal RNA
Rfam family: Bacterial small subunit ribosomal RNA
Source: RNAcentral
GACGAACGCUGGCGGCGUGCUUAACACAUGCAAGUCGAACGGAAAGGCCCUGCUUUUGUGGGGUGCUCGAGUGGCGAACGGGUGAGUAACACGUGAGUAACCUGCCCUUGACUUUGGGAUAACUUCAGGAAACUGGGGCUAAUACCGGAUAGGAGCUCCUGCUGCAUGGUGGGGGUUGGAAAGUUUCGGCGGUUGGGGAUGGACUCGCGGCUUAUCAGCUUGUUGGUGGGGUAGUGGCUUACCAAGGCUUUGACGGGUAGCCGGCCUGAGAGGGUGACCGGGGACAGUGGGACUGAGAGACGGCGCAGAGGGCGACGGGAGGCAGCAGUGGGGAAGAUGGGACAAGGGGCGGAAGUGGGAUGAAGCAGCGCUGCGUGUGGGAGGACGGACGUCGGGGUGUAAAAAGAAUUAGGCUGUGACGAAGAGUGAGUGACGGUAAGGGGAAAAGAAGCACAGGCUAACGACGUG